UUGAGUAGAUUUAUCUUAACUAACAUCUGUGUUAAUCUAAUUUUGUCUUUUGAAUUACAGGACUGAUGCUGUUACAACUACAUUAAAAGAGAGUUUGCCAUCAAAGUGCUGGUUUUUCUAGAGAGAAAGAAGCUCUGAACUACACUUGUGAUGAAAGCCUCAUUAAGACUUGGUUUCCUUGCAUUCUCAGUUCAUUUGGAUUCUCAUGAAUAAGGGAGAGAAUUUUAACCAGCUUUGUUUUCCUUCUGCUUAUCUGGCUGCAAGUGAAAAUCCAGAGGAAGAUAGAUGCCAGCCAAGGUUUUGGCAAUGCAAUCACAUGUGAGUAGGUAAUUCUUUUUUGCACCUCUGUUGCCAG
Molecule: long non-coding RNA, 355 nt
Filed under: Dasypus novemcinctus (nine-banded armadillo)
Lineage: Eukaryota; Metazoa; Chordata; Mammalia; Cingulata; Dasypodidae
Description: lncRNA (ENSDNOG00000051514.1)
Source: RNAcentral